This is a long non-coding RNA of Talpa occidentalis (Iberian mole), 793 nucleotides long. RefSeq lists it as uncharacterized. The record is from RefSeq and is a predicted model, not a curated record. The transcript is spliced from 6 exons. Lineage: Eukaryota; Metazoa; Chordata; Mammalia; Eulipotyphla; Talpidae.
AAAAUAAAAAAGACACAGCAGAGACAGAACAAGGAUUGUUUCCCCAUUACAAUUUGCCCCCUUUUAUUAUUUUUGUUUUCCCCAAUAGUGAGUUUAUUGGGAAGUAUCUGCAUUGGUGAUGGAAAUCAACACUGAGCUUGGAUUGUAAGGAUUUUCAAUCCACUGAGCUUCUCCGUUCUCCAGCACAUCCCCCCAACUCUACACUAUAGGGGAAGGAAAAUGAGUGUUGACAGUUCAGUCUAAGCAGAAGAUACUUCUUUGUGAAAUCUGAUGAGUGAAGAGAGAAGACAUCUGGGGAAUCCAAUGAAAUGACCAGCCAGAAUCCUCUACAGUAAAGCUAACAGUUGACAAGUGCUAGUGUGAACUCAGCUUUCAAACAACUUUUUAAAAAGGAGGAACUCUGAUGGGCUAUUCCAGCUCCAAAGCUUCCUGUGGGAUUGACUUUGGCAACUGCAUCACAGUUUGGCAUCUCAAUCGGUCCAAUUCUCCUCUCCUCAUUUAAAGGAAAAGUGCUCUGCAAGGGAUGGAGAUUAGUACCUAAAUGUGACCAAGGUGAGAAGACUAAAAAUGGAGUGAUUACAGCUGAAGAUUAGUCUUGGAUAAGUUUUCUGAAGGGAGAAGAAAAUAAAAUACCAAGAAAACAAACAACAAAAAAGAGUUGAACAAAAAACCCCUGCUAUGUUAAACACGCAUAAUGCUCAAAUUCUAAAGAAUACACAUUUACUGGAUUAUGAACUCUUGCAAGUCGGCGCAUGUGUGAGUACAGACAGGCUCUCAUCUUGCUCAGCGGAGA